Molecule: long non-coding RNA, 7676 nt
Organism: Sarcophilus harrisii (Tasmanian devil)
Lineage: Eukaryota; Metazoa; Chordata; Mammalia; Dasyuromorphia; Dasyuridae
Source: Ensembl
CCUAAUUUUAAUAUAAUCAAGCAUGAAAUUUUUAUAUGAAAUACGUUUUUAAAAUGAUAUUUCAUCCCACAAAGACACCCUAAGUAUUUUACAAUGUUGUUUCACUUAUCCGAAAGAAGGUGGCCAGAAAAAUAACUGAAAAGAAAAAGUAACACCUUAGUUUCAUCUGUACCUUCCGGGUCAUAUCUGAGAACUUUGCUUCCUGACACAAACAAGUUUUUACUGCUGUCAGCACCCAAACCCUAAUUUAGCUGCGGAAGAGAAAAACUGCAUUGCCUUUUGCCUCCCUCAUGCAUCAUCGACACAGUUACCGGGGGGAUUCUAAUUCUAGAAAGCUUUAGGGCUGGUAAUGAUGCGUUCAAGGGAGCCUGGUUAUUAGUGUUGUAGUCUUACUGUUUGGUCGUUGCUGCUCCACCACAAAUCAGAUUGGAGUUUCAGAGGGAAAAGUAAAAUUCUGUUUUUGUCUUAUUUAAUUUUUUUUAUUUUUCAGCCUUUUGAAAUGACUCAUAUCUGUUGGGGAACUCAUUACGGCCAGGGAAACAUAAAAUAGGAAAUACUGAGAUGUCAUUUCUAACAGCGUGUGGGUUUUGUGAAUGUCGGAAGGAUUUAAGGAAGCACGGCUCUUCUGUUUAGUGUAAUAAGGCACUCUUUAAAAGAGAGAGAGAAAGAGAGGAGACUGGUCCCUAAUUGUUGGUGCGCCCUGGCUUUUUCUCCCGCAGCCCCGGGAGCCCCUCGAGGAUGCUGCGAGGUGGGCUUGGUGGGUGGUGCUGAGACCCGCGCUGUUGCCGCCGCCGGUCCUGCCGCUGCUGUUGUUGAUGCUGCUGCUGCUGCUUGCUGCUGCUGCAGAGUCACGUGGGAGUCCCCUUUAAGUUUCCAUAGAGAGGCCUCUCCGGUGUCACAUGAUGGACAUGAUAUAAUGAAACAACAUUGUGGAGCGGAGAGCAUUCGGGGAGCCCAGGGCUACAAAAACAAGUGAGUGAGAAGAGGUGGGAGGAAGAGAAACUACGCCACCUCCCCUGCAGACCAGCCCACACGCAGCAGCCGCCUCCGAGACGAGGAGGAGAGGGGUCCGUCGUGGGGGACGAGGGAUGGGGGAACGGGCAAAGGGUGGAGGGCAGGGGUCCUCAGCCCCGCAUCCUGAAAGUCCCCCUCCCCCAGGAGCGGGCAGACACCAACUUUCCUCUACUAGCCUCCUCCAGGACUGCACCUGUCUCCAAAGUCGCGAUAGUCAAAAAGGGGAAAUUCUAGAAGAGGAGCCGCCGCGAUACAUGCGCAUCUGUUUUUUUCCCCCGUUUGCACUUCGCUCACAUGGAAGAAAACAGAAGGAUUUUUAGCAGCGUGUCAGUUACCCGAAGGUAAGUUAUUUAUAGGAGGCAAAGCUGGUCCAACAGGACUUUGGGAGAAGAAUUUUCUUUCCUUCGCUUUAAGGAGACUUGCCAUGUAAUUUAAAGAAAAAGAGAAGAUGAUGUCGGGAAAAGGCAUCUUUUAGGCUCGGUUUCUCGGGUGGAUUUUUUUUUUGGGGGGGGGAUGUACAUGGGUAACACUUUCCCCUCCUCUGGCUUGUGCUGCCCUCCUCCCCCCUCUGCCCCUUCCCAUUCUUCAGCGCCCCUCGGUUUUCCCCUCCUUUUCCCCAGAGGGGUCCCGCAGCCCCAGGAGCCGAUUUGGGGAAGCCGGGAGAGGGAAGGUGGGAUUGGUGGCAUCCGAGAGGGAUUUCGAGGUGAUUUCGCCAUGUUUGGGUGGCUAAGAAGACUUUGGUGCCCCCCAUCCCCCCAGUUAGGUGGCUUGAUGCCACAUGGCUCCUCCGGAGCUGCUGCUGGGUUCAGAAAGUGGUGGCUUUUUUUUUUUCUUCAAUGUCCGCAUUCCAGCUAAUGUUGCGCAGAUAAAAUUCAAACUUGAGGUAAACAGAAGAGGAGGAGGAGGAGGAGGAGGAGGAGGGGAAGAGGGGGGAGGGAAGGGAGGAGAAGGCUGUUUCCAUUUCAGCUACCCACCUCUCCACCCCUCGGAGAACAACAUCCCAAACCUAGGGAUAACUAUUUCAUUUCUUUCCCCUCCCACCCCCACCCUCAACCUUUGCUGUCAACAAAAAUAAGGGGAGGGAGGGGGCGCGCGCGUCCGGGGGUGGCGCCUUCGCUCCCUCUUGGAAAACCUUCGCACCACAUCCCGGAGAUGCCUCCCUCAUUUUUGCUUCCUUUUUCCUCCUUUCCCGCUGGAGAGCACGAGGGUGCCUCGCCUGCCGAAGCCCCUUCGCACUUUGCCCGGGCAGCCGGGCUCUCUUUCAGCCGUCCCGGCGCGCAGGGGCGGGCGGAGGGCUCCGGGGCUGGAGUUUUGCAGCCCGGGGGGGCCACGCCAGCCGGCGGCAGCGCUUCGGAUGCUGAGCAGGUGUGCGGCGGCCGAGCCGAUUUCCUUUUAAAAAUAACUUUUUUUCACUUUUUCCCCGUGCCUUUUCUAUGUGCCAGGACGGUGUGGGAAGUUUGCGAAACCUUAAGGGACCAGGGACGGACCUUGUUCUCCUCGGGGCUGCCAAGUAUCCGGGAGAAGAGAGCCUCCUCCUCCUCUUUCCCAGCCCGCGGGGAUCGGAGCGAAGACUAGGUGGGUGGGUGUUCCAGGGCGGGGAUGGGAGGGCUGCUGACAGCUUGGAAGUCUUCCCUCCGGGUCCGCCUGCCUGCCCACUCCCGGCUUCUCCCACCGGCCUCCAUCCUUUACAAACGGACGGAGCCGGGGGCGAGAACGGAGAGCGCCCACUGCGCACACGCGGGCGGGGGUCCCAGCCCUCUUCAGGAGCGGUUGCGUCAGGGAGGAAGCGACGGACCCCUCGGAGGUGGGGAAGGACGCGCGUGGGGGGGAGCGGGCCAGAGGAACGGAGCCCGCUGGCCGGGGCCGCAUCCGGGGCCGGGCCGCUCCCACGCAGGACGGGGGUGCGCCGUGGGGGCGGAGGCGCGUCCCGGAGCCCCGGCCCCCGGCGGCGGUUUCCGGGCGCGGUCCCCGGGGGCAGACUCUGCCGCUUCCAUUCCCGGCAGGGAGAAAAGGACACGGGCGGAGCUUGAGCGUAAACAGGCUGUCAGCCGCCCGCGGCUCCCCGCCCCUGGCUGACGCGGGAGCUGGGUCCUGGAAGCGGAGCCGCCGCCGCCGCCGCGACCGGCGCUGCCGUCCCCCGGCGCGCGGCCGCGGCCCGGUCCCGCCGUCCCUUGGCGGCGGCGGCGGCGGCGGCGGCGGGCGUGCGGGCGGGCGCGGGCGCGUGCUCGCUCCCGCGCCGCCCUCCCUCCCUCCCUCCGGAGCGCGCCGCCGACGCCCGGCUCGGCCGGCCUCUGUUUUUGUUUUGAUGGGACCCGCGUGCAGCUGACGCGUGUCGAGUCACGUGUCUGCUGGGUGGGAGGGGAGGAAAAGAGGGCGCGUUGACGUCCGUAAGACCCUGCUCCUGGCGGGGGCGGGGCCGAAGGCGGGGGCGGGCCCGGAGGAAGAGGGUAGUUAGCGGUGGUCCCGGAGCUGCCCGCAUCCUCCGGCAGGAUAUGAAAAGAGGAUCAGAUGCUAUGACAGUAGGGAAGUUAGAAAGACACUAUAGUCAUCCUUUGAUUAAAUGGAAGCAGGCAGAGAACUGAUGCUAUGAUAUCUUAGCUACCAGCUGCUAAUGAGAAAUGAACCUCAAGGGACUGACGUCAGAGAUCAGAAACAUCUGGCUUGCUUAUUCAUGACCUGUCAGAAAAACGUAUUGUUGGAGCUGAGAUGGUUUGGUAGAUGCAAGCUUGGAAACAAGGAGUUUCUCUGUUCAUGAACUCAAGAAAUUGUGAGUAAUUAAGAAGAUGAAGAAUGUAUGUGGUGUACUUUGGAGAUCUAUCUACAGAUAAUAUACUUCUUAAACUGAAGAUACCAAUCUGCAUUUCUCAGGGAGAAAUUGGGGGAAAUGGAGUUACCUUCCAGGAAAAUCUGCCAAAGAGGAGUAAGGAGAGAGAGAAACUAAGACUUCUAGACUAUAUGAAAGAUUUAUACCUGCACAUGAGGAAUAUUUGAGAAAGAAAUCUCAAGACUUAGGUUACAAAACACCAUGGCCUCCAAAGGAGAGAUGACUGAUGGGCAAAAGAAGUACAUUACAACUGAGAAAAUUAUGAAGGAAGAACAGCAUAAAAAAUGUUCAAGUAUAAAGUAUAAGGAAAUAUUCAUGUGAAAAAAAAUAUAGUGGAUUGAGUGCAUUUUGCAGAUGAGAAAACCAUGGCUAAGAGAGAAGGGAAGCCAGAAUUACAAAAUUAAUAAGUCUCAAAACUGCCAUCUGGCCCUGGGCAAGCCACAUCCCUGGCCUCCAUUUCCUAAGUGAAAGAUUAGAUGUGGGGAAAAAAUUCUGCAAAGAAGAAUUUUCGUUCACUGGAAUCCAGUUAGAAUCAACUGAGAGAAGAGAUGACAUACAACGAACAGGGACAGGUGAAUGCAGAGAAGCUCCUGGAAGGGUUACCUGGAUUUUUUCAAGGCUAUGAGUUACACAAUCAAGCAGAAGAUUCUUUGAAGCUACAAGAAGAGGUCAAAGCAGCAUGUUCACAAGGUGCUGAUUUUCUGAUCUUCUGCCUCUGUGUCCUCUUGAGAGUCAUUGGGCAGCUUUUCCUAAUCUCUAGACUGCUCCUGCCACCCCAUGUAAGUAAAAGCUUGAUCCAUAAAUCAAUCAGUGAAUAAAAGUUUCAAGAUUUUUGUUCCUGACUGAUCCCUAGGAAGAAGGAAAGGUGAUUAGUAUGCUUUAACCUCUGGUCUAUACUCUGGGUUCCCUUAAGACAUAAUAAAUAAGGAAAAAUGGGAAUUUCUAGCAAACUCUUGUGUGACUAGUUAUCAAAUUGUGCAUCAGAGGAAUCUCUAACAACAACAUCCGCUUAAAAAUUCAGGGUUCAUACUUUAGGUUUAGGAUGGUCACAGUAUAAGAAGAAAAUAAGUUGGAGAUUUAAGUAUAUAAAGAUAGUUUUGUCAAUAUUAUUUAUUUUUUCUAACAUAUGCAAACAAUUUUUUUGCUUGAGAUGUUUUUUAUCUUAUUUUAUUUUUCCAAUUACACGUGAAAAUAAUUUUUAUCUUCAUUUUUUAUAAUUUUUAGUUCCAGUUUCUCUCCCACCAUACCUUUCCUCCCCUCACCCUCAUUGAAAAGGCAAGCAUUUUAAUAAAGGUUAUAAAUGUGCAAUCAUCCAAAACUCAUUUUCUUAUUAGUCAUUAAACAUUUUUAACAUGUAUUUUUUUAAUUGAAUUAAUUUUUCUCCCUUUUCUUCCCUUUCAUUGAGAAGGCAAGCAAUUUGAUGUAAAUUAUACAUUUAUCAUCAUGCUAAACAUUUCUGUAUUGGCUAUGUUGCCAAAAAAAACAGACAAAAAAAGAAUAAUAAAGUAAAAAAGAAGUAUGCUUCAGUUUGCAUUCAUAUGUCAUCAGUUCUUUCUCUGGAGGUGAAUAGUAUUUUUCAUCCUAAGUCCUUUGGAAUUGUCUUGGUUCAAAGUAUUACUGAGAAUAUAGCCAAGUCUUUCAUAUUUGAUCAUUGUACAAUGUUGCUGUUAUUGUGUACAAUGUUCUUCUGGUCUGCUAAUUUCCAGGACAGGUUAAGUCUAGGUUAUUCUGAAAGCAUCCUUCUUGUCACUUCUUAGAGCAUCAUAGUAUUCUUUCACAAUCAUAUACUACAACUUGUGUUCUAAGAAAUAAAUAUUAUACUUGUUCUUGUUUCCUUGGUCUUGAGCUCUUAUUAUUUUUUUUUGAUGUUUUCUUUUGCAACAUGGUUAAUAAAGAAAUGUUUUACAUGAAGAAAAAUAACAAAGUUUUAGAAAUCAGUUUGUCCAGUUAACAGGCCAACAAAAUCAAUAAAUUAAAUGGAUAACUAUCUACCAUAAAAAUCCAAAUUAACAAAAUAAUCAUAGAAAAAUUAAGCAAGUCAUAAAAGGACCCUCAAAGAAAAAAAUACCAAGACAGAUGGACUUGCAAAUGAAUCUUAUAAAAAAAAAUCCAAAGAGCAAUUAAUUAUAAUAUUACAUAAAUUAUUUACAAAAACAUAGAAAUUAGGAUUUUUACCAAACUCUUAGGUUACAAAUAUGGUUCCUCUGCCUAGACUAGGACAAGAUGAAACAGAAAAAGAAACUCAUACGCUGAUCAUUCCUAAUGAAUAUUUUUGCAAAACCACAACAUAUUUAGAAGAUUCUGUGCUAUGACCAAACACCUGAGCCUAGAAGUAGACAAAUUAUUGACCAAAAAAUUCAGCAUCCAGAAGAGAAAUGUAGAAAUCAGAAGGAGGAUCUAUGGAAAAGAUGUCUACCUUGUACAUAGUGUACAUCUACCAUCUGAUAGAAUUUUUGAGAUAGAGCAAUAUCUUAAUGAUAACAUAUAUUGAAUCACCUAUUCUGAAGUAGAUAAGGGAAAAAAGUGCCAAGUGGAAAACCACUAUUAUUGUAUGAACUUAUGCUAGUAGAGUUAAAAAGAAUUAUUUCAAUUGCAAAUCCUUUAUAAAAGAUAAUUGAUGUUAAGUGGUUAUUUGGAACUGGGGUGCUAGUCACAGGCAUCUAAUAAUUGAGGUAAUAAGACAAGUGGGGGUUUAAAACAAUGGCAUUAAAGAAUAGAUGCUCCACAUCUCUCAGAACCCUGAAAGGGAGUUGCAGAUAGCCAGGCUCUGGGAGAGUGAGCUAGAGUAUACUCACUAUGUUUGUGGGCUCAUUCAUAAUAAAAUCAGGGCCUCCAAAUUUGUAGAAUUUCCACCUGAGAUUUGUUUUGAGAUAGCAUUGUUUAUAAGAUUCUAGGUAGUCCCCCCCAAAAAAAAAAUUAUUUAUUUGAGGCAUUUUUUGCUGUGUUUCCUUUACAAAUCAGUUCCAUUGAGCAGGCUUUUAUAAAUGCUUACAUUUGUUGAUUCAUCGGAUAUUUAGUACUACGUCUUGCUGUAUUACUGAAUUCUUGAUAAGUUUUAAUAUUAAAACUAAUUUGAGAAGUAUGGAGUUUGUGUCACUAAAACAUUGAUUCCUCAUUGAGAAAUGUUCACUUUUUCCCUUUUGCAUUCAAUAGACCCAGAAUCCUUGCCUCAUUAUGAAGUUCUUAUUCCCUGAAAGAUCAUAGGGUCAGGUUUGCCUGUGUGCUUAGUAACACCAAGUAACCAAUUCUUCAUGUUUAGUGCAGGAAGGAAUGUUGCACUUUUAUAUGUGCAGACUUCUUGCUUAUUUAUUUAAAAAAUAAAAAAAUACAACUAUAGGCAGAUAAAAGAACAGAGUAGGAUAUACCAUUGAAACUAUGAAUGGGAAGAGUCCUUGACCCAGUUAGGAAAAGGGGAAUCCCUAGAGAUAAAAUGGACAAUUUCAUAACAUCCAAAACUUUUUACACCAGAAAAAAAUUAAUGAGAAUAGAAUUAGAAGGAAAAUAUCUAUGGAAAAUCUUUGCAGCAGAUUUUUCUUAUCUAAGAGAUGUAGAGUGCUGAUUCAAAUAUACCAAAAUAAGAACCAUUACCCAUCAGAUAAAUGGCCAAAGAAUACAAAACAGGUAGUUUUCAAAAUAAGAAUGCAGGCUAUCAACAGGAAUAUUUUAAAAUAAUCCAAAUCAUUGAUUCAGAGAAAUACAAAUUAAACCAUCCUGAGCUUUCCCUUCAAACUUAUCACAUUAACAGAGUUGACACCUCACCAAAAAAAGGGGAAAUAGCAAUUACAGGAGCUUUGGGGGAGGAGGCACAUUAAUAUACUGCUAGUGGGCUUAAAUUAUU